Molecule: long non-coding RNA, 2304 nt
Organism: Bubalus bubalis (water buffalo)
Lineage: Eukaryota; Metazoa; Chordata; Mammalia; Artiodactyla; Bovidae
Exons: 4
Source: RefSeq, a predicted model, not a curated record
GAAAGAUGAUGCUGUUAAAGUGCUACACUGAAUAUAUCAGCAAAUUUGGAAAACUCAGCAGGACUGGAAAGGUCAGUUUUCAUUCCAAUUCCAAAGAAAGGGCAAUAGAGAUCAGAAGAUAAAUGAAGUGCCCAGAUCUCAUGGCUCAGUGGACCUCAAAGACCAACUCCCAAGGCUGGGCGAUGAGCUGGGACCUCCAUGGAAAGAGUGUGUUGGUCAUGAGGGUGAAGGGCGGGCAGUGCCUUGGGGAUCUGCAGGCCACCUAGUGGGGUCCUGACAGCAGGGAGGAGCACAUUGACUACGGACCACCGCCCCGCCCCCCCACUCCAAGAGCCACAUCCAAGUCCUGGCAGGUUUCCCUUUGCUGGUUUCACCCCUGUGGGGAAGGGCAGAGGUAACAGAAGAAAAGGAAAGCAGAAAGAAAAUGCAGAGGUAAUGGGCUCUGCCUCCUGCCCCAGUGCUUGCCUGGGGCUCAACCUAGGGGUGGGGAUGAGGUUCCUUCCCAGGGACCCCAACCCCUAGGUGAAACAGGAGAAGGGACCAUCCCUCUCUAAAGCAGGAGGGGGACUGGGAGGGCAGCAGCGAGGGGCUGUGAGUCAAGCGUGCUGCAGAUGGAGAGCCACGGCCCCCAGUGUCCCAAUCCCUCUCAGGUUAAAAAUGACAGAGAGGGGCUGAGCUUGCUAGCCAGCCGACAGGAGUUGGGAGCCACUCUUGGUCACCGGGUGGGCCCAGAGUGAUCACAUGGUCCUUGCCAGGACUUCAGGGAGGCUGGAGAGGCGCUGCAUGGGAAGGACUCGGUGCCCAGGCUCUGAAGCUGGACAAGCCACAGUCUCUUUUAGCCCAGGUCGGGUCCUGAGUGACCCGGGGAAGCCGCCAGGCCUCGGUCUCAGUUUCAGGAGGGCUGGAGUGGGCCUAUUUGAACCGGGACGGGAGGAGGGCCAGUCGGGCAAAAGGAGAGGGGUCUCCUAUCAGGAAGUGUCCUUGAGGGUCCCGGUAAGAGCUCAAGGAACUGCUGAGGAAGAGGCUCCAGGUAACCGGGAGGCCCCCAAGGAGGUGAGCACCGGGGCCACGCAGCGGAGGGACCACCAAGGGGGCGGUUCAGCUGGGACUGAGCUGGACGCCAGACCCGCGAGGAGAGAGGUGCACCCGGCAGUGGUGGGGACUGAACACGGAUCAAGGAAAGAGCGCAGAUCCCUAGGAAGGCGACGAGCGGGGACUGAGGAAGAGGGGGGUGGAGGGGGGGGGCGGCGGAACGACGGGCUCUGCCUCCUGCCCCGGGGCUCAACCUGGGGAUGGGGACGCGGAUCCUUCCCAGGGACCCCAUGCCCUGGGUGAAGCCGCAGCCCAGCUGGGAGGCAGUCCUGCCCGCUCUGUAGUUCUCAGAAUGACUCUCUCCAGUGCCAGGACCCUCAGGCCCUCAGCUUUUUGGCGCCUAACUGCUCUUUUCUCUAAAUAAGAAAAUUAAGCAGCUCUUGCCCUGACGGUUCCCAAAAAGAAACACAACGGCCCCUUUAAGUGAAGACGUGCAGCCGCCCUCGGAAUCAGAAAAACCGGGUCCACGCCAUACGGGGAUCGCAGGCGGACGCUGCGUGGUCGCAGAGCGCAGGUGUGGCCCGGGAAGAGAACUCGGCGCACCCGUGUCCCAGGAGCACUGGACACACUUCCACAGUACGUUCACACACUAGACCCACGCACGGGGCACACACACGGUAUGUCGACGCUCGGGACACACGUCCACAAUACGUUCACGCACGGGACCCACGCACGGCACGUCGACGCUCGGCCUCACGCACGGGUUUCGCACUCGAGGUUCGGGCCGCUGUGCCGACCCAGGAGGCAAGUUUGCAGCGAUUCUCGUUAGCUGGUUGAAGAGGCACAAGAGGAGAGGAUGGCGCGCUUUCUUUAGAAUCUUACAUGGAGUCGCAGAUACAUGAAGCAAGUACAGGACUCGCACUGUGGGCAUGCACAUGUGGUAAGCCUCCUUCACAGCAGCGUCACCCGCAGCACGGGCGCCAGCCCUUCUGUUCAGCCCAGGGUCUGAGUCAUUCACCUUCUUGAAAUCUGAACUAAAUCAAACACUGUUGAAGACGUGUGUCACAGUCAGCCCUGUAUCUGAUUCAGCUGAGUGUGGACAGCGCAGUCUUGUGAACUUACAGGUACUGAAAUCCUGAGAUUCUACCUUGUGUUCUUCCUUCUACAUAACUCCCUGAGUCGGAUGAGGACUUGGAGACCUCCAAGAGCAAGAAGCCUUCCAGUGAUUCAAGCAGCAUAGAAACCGUGAUAAUAAAUCAUUAUUAAGUGGUC